AGCUCCAAUAGCGUAUAUUAAAGUUGUUGCAGUUAAAAAGCUCGUAGUUGGAUUUGUGGCUGUCGCCAGCGGCCUAUCACUCAGUGUUAGUGCUUGCCGGCGUCGCCAUCCUUGGGUGGAGCCCGUGUGGCAUUAGGUUGUCGUGCGGGGGAUGCCCAUCGUUUACUGUGAGAAAAUUAGAGUGUUCAAAGCAGGCUUAUGCCGUUGAAUAUGUUAGCAUGGAAUAAUAAGAUAGGACCUCGGUACUAUUUUGUUGGUUUGCGCACCGAGGUAAUGAUUAAUAGGGACAGUUGGGGGUAUUCGUAUUCCAUUGUCAGAGGUGAAAUUCUUGGAUUUCUGGAAGACGAACUACUGCGAAAGCAUUUACCAAGGAUGUUUUCAUUAAUCAAGAACGAAAGUA
This 400-nucleotide ribosomal RNA is filed under the name phytoplankton environmental sample. RNAcentral's name for it is "partial small subunit ribosomal RNA". It matches the Rfam family "Eukaryotic small subunit ribosomal RNA", at positions 587 to 991 of the family's 1831-position model. The record is from RNAcentral.